GUGGGGAAUUUUGGUCAAUGGGCGCAAGCCUGAUCCAGCAAUGCCGCGUGCAGGAAGAAGGCCUUCGGGUUGUAAACUGCUUUUGUACGGAACGAAACGGUCCGGGUUAAUACCCUGGGCUAAUGACGGUACCGUAAGAAUAAGCACCGGCUAACUACGUGCCAGCAGCCGCGGUAAUACGUAGGGUGCAAGCGUUAAUCGGAAUUACUGGGCGUAAAGCGUGCGCAGGCGGUUUUGUAAGACAGGCGUGAAAUCCCCGGGCUCAACCUGGGAAUUGCGCUUGUGACUGCAAGGCUGGAGUGCGGCAGAGGGGGAUGGAAUUCCGCGUGUAGCAGUGAAAUGCGUAGAUAUGCGGAGGAACACCGAUGGCGAAGGCAAUCCCCUGGGCCUGCACUGACGCUCAUGCACGAAAGCGUGGGGAGCAAACAGGAUUAGAAACCCGUGUAGUCC
This 450-nucleotide ribosomal RNA is filed under the name uncultured bacterium. RNAcentral's name for it is "partial 16S ribosomal RNA". It matches the Rfam family "Bacterial small subunit ribosomal RNA", at positions 354 to 796 of the family's 1533-position model. The record is from RNAcentral.